AUUUAUAUAAUAUAAAUAAAGUAUAUUUGACUUCCAAUCAAAAAGUUUAAAAAUUUUAAUAUAAAUA
Molecule: transfer RNA, 67 nt
Filed under: Biston mediolata
Lineage: Eukaryota; Metazoa; Arthropoda; Insecta; Lepidoptera; Geometridae
Description: tRNA-Gly
Source: RNAcentral